GCACAGACACAGUGCUGCCUGCCCCUUUGUGCCAUGGGAUCCAGGCUGCUCUGUUGGGUGCUGCUUUGUCUCCUGGGAGCAGGCCCAGUAGAGGCUGGAGUCACUCAGACUCCAAAAUAUCUGAUCAAAACGAGAGGACAGCAAGUGACACUGAGCUGCUCCCCUAUCUCUGGGCAUCAGAGUGUAUUCUGGUACCAACAGACCCCAGGACAGGGCCUUCAGUUCCUCUUCGAAUACUUCAGUGAGACACAGAGAGAAAAAGGAAACUUCCCUGAUCGAUUCUCAGGGCGCCAGUUCUCUAACUCUCGCUCUGAGAUGAAUGUGAGCACCUUGGAGCUGGGGGACUCGGCCCUUUAUCUUUGUGCCAGCAGCUUGGCACAGCCCUACAAAGCCAACCACAUUCUGUGCACAAACCUCCCUGGCCCAGUGUGGGGCAACCUCAGCCCUGACAUAUCUUUGAGGGGCUGUGCGGGACAGGAAUGCUGCAUGGAGCUGCUGAGCCUGAGUCUUUCAAUGGGUGAACAAGGCAGGAGUGGCCUGCAGAGAGAGUACCUGGAAAAGGACUGUACCCCAAGGAACUGGGUGACACUUUCCUACCCCCACUCAGGGAGUGACCCUGAGGAGGGAGCUGCCAGCCAGGGGGGCUAA
Molecule: non-coding RNA, 648 nt
Organism: Symphalangus syndactylus (siamang)
Lineage: Eukaryota; Metazoa; Chordata; Mammalia; Primates; Hylobatidae
Source: the annotation of a RefSeq genome assembly